Molecule: ribosomal RNA, 253 nt
Filed under: uncultured bacterium
Lineage: Bacteria
Description: partial 16S ribosomal RNA
Rfam family: Bacterial small subunit ribosomal RNA
Source: RNAcentral
UACGUAGGGUGCAAGCGUUGUCCGGAAUUAUUGGGCGUAAAGGGCUCGUAGGCGGUCUGUCGCGUCGGGAGUGAAAACUCAGGGCUUAACCCUGAGCCUGCUUCCGAUACGGGCAGACUAGAGGUAUGCAGGGGAGAACGGAAUUCCUGGUGUAGCGGUGAAAUGCGCAGAUAUCAGGAGGAACACCGGUGGCGAAGGCGGAUCUCUGGGCCAUUACUGACGCUGAGGAGCGAAAGCGUGGGGAGCGAACAGG